CAGUAGCCGCGGUAAUACAGAGGGUGCAAGCGUUAAUCGGAAUUACUGGGCGUAAAGGGCGCGUAGGUGGUUGUGUAAGUGAGAUGUGAAAUCCCCGGGCUCAACCUGGGAACUGCGUCUUAUACUGCAUAGCUUGAGUACAAUAGAGGGUAGUGGAAUUUCCGGUGUAGCGGUGAAAUGCGUAGAUAUCGGAAGGAACACCAGUGGCGAAGGCGGCUACCUGGAUUGAUACUGACACUGAGGCGCGAGAGCGUGGGGAGCAAACAGGAUUAGAUACCCCUGUAGUCCCUGUCUCUUAUAC
Molecule: ribosomal RNA, 301 nt
Filed under: uncultured bacterium
Lineage: Bacteria
Description: partial 16S ribosomal RNA
Rfam family: Bacterial small subunit ribosomal RNA
Source: RNAcentral